Sinocyclocheilus rhinocerous is the source of this 86-nucleotide long non-coding RNA. RefSeq lists it as uncharacterized. The transcript is spliced from 3 exons. The record is from RefSeq and is a predicted model, not a curated record. NCBI's taxonomy places the organism in Eukaryota, Metazoa, Chordata, Actinopteri, Cypriniformes, Cyprinidae.
AAAGUAUGCAGUUACUGUUAUAGGAUUAUUGCUUUGCUGUUUGCCUACUUCAUUUAAACUUUUUUGUUGUUGUGACAAGGGAUUUU